GUGGGGGAUAUUGCACAAUGGAGGAAACUCUGAUGCAGCGACGCCGCGUGAGUGAAGAAGUAUUUCGGUAUGUAAAGCUCUAUCAGCAGGGAAGAUAAUGACAGUACCUGACUAAGAAGCCCCGGCUAACUACGUGCCAGCAGCCGCGGUAAUACGUAGGGGGCAAGCGUUAUCCGGAUUUACUGGGUGUAAAGGGAGCGUAGACGGAAUGGCAAGUCUGAAGUGAAAUCCUGCGGCUUAACUGCAGAAUUGCUUUGGAAACUGUCAAUCUGGAGUGGUGGAGAGGUAAGCGGAAUUCCUGGUGUAGCGGUGAAAUGCGUAGAUAUCAGGAAGAACACCGGAGGCGAAGGCGGCUUACUGGACAAUAACUGACGUUGAGGCUCGAAAGCGUGGGAAGCAAACAGGAUUAGAUACCCGUGUAGUCC
This 425-nucleotide ribosomal RNA is filed under the name uncultured bacterium. RNAcentral's name for it is "partial 16S ribosomal RNA". It matches the Rfam family "Bacterial small subunit ribosomal RNA", at positions 354 to 796 of the family's 1533-position model. The record is from RNAcentral.